AGCGAACGCUGGCGGCAGGCCUAACACAUGCAAGUCGAACGAACCUUUCGGGGUUAGUGGCGGACGGGUGAGUAACACGUGGGAACGUGCCUUUAGGUUCGGAAUAACUCAGGGAAACUUGUGCUAAUACCGAAUGUGCCCUUCGGGGGAAAGAUUAAUCGCCUUUAGAGCGGCCCGCGUCUGAUUAGCUAGUUGGUUGAGGUAAUGGCUCACCAAGGCGACGAUCAGUAGCUGGUCUGAGAGGAUGAUCAGCCACAUUGGGACUGAGACACGGCCCAAACUCCUACGGGAGGCAGCAGUGGGGAAUCUUGCGCAAUGGGCGAAGGCCUGACGCAGCCAUGCCGCGUGAAUGAUGAAGGUCUUAGGAUUGUAAAAUUCUUUCACCGGGGACGAUAAUGACGGUACCCGGAGAAGAAGCCCCGGCUAACUUCGUG
Molecule: ribosomal RNA, 434 nt
Filed under: uncultured bacterium
Lineage: Bacteria
Description: partial 16S ribosomal RNA
Rfam family: Bacterial small subunit ribosomal RNA
Source: RNAcentral